This is a long non-coding RNA of Eriocheir sinensis (Chinese mitten crab), 675 nucleotides long. RefSeq lists it as uncharacterized. The record is from RefSeq and is a predicted model, not a curated record. The transcript is spliced from 3 exons. Lineage: Eukaryota; Metazoa; Arthropoda; Malacostraca; Decapoda; Varunidae.
GACAUACAAGGGGUGUAGGUUAUCUCUUUUAUCACAUUUACUGACAUACAAGGGGUGUAGGUUAUCUCAUUUAUCACAUUUACUGACAUACAAGGGGUGUAGGUUAUCUCAUUUAUCACAUUUACUGACAUACAAGGGGUGUAGGUUAUCUCAUUUAUCACAUUUACUGACAUACAAGGGGUGUAGGUUAUCUCAUUUAUCACAUUUACUGACAUACAAGGGGUGCAGGUUAUCUCAUUUAUCACAUUUACUGACAUACAAGGGGUGUAGGUUAUCUCAUUUAUCACAUUUACUGACAUACAAGGGGUGUAGGUUAUCUCUUUUAUCACAUUUACUGACAUACAAGGGGUGUAGGUUAUCUCUUUUAUCACAUUUACUGACAUACAAGGGGUGUAGGUUAUCUCUUUUAUCACAUUUACUGACAUACAAGGGGUGUAGGUUAUCUCUUUUAUCACAUUUACUGACAUACAAGGGGUGUAGGUUAUCUCAUUUAUCACAUUUACUGACAUACAAGGGGUGUAGGUUAUCUCAUUUAUCACAUUUACUGACAUACAAGGGGUGUAGGUUAUCUCAUUUAUCACAUUUACUGACAUACAAGGGGUGUAGGUUAUCUCAUUUAUCACAUUUACUGACAUACAAGGGGUGUAGGUUAUCUCUUUUAUCACAUUUACUGAC